This 560-nucleotide small RNA is filed under the name Pan troglodytes (chimpanzee). Its description in RNAcentral is "retained intron". Lineage: Eukaryota; Metazoa; Chordata; Mammalia; Primates; Hominidae. The record is from RNAcentral.
CUGCGUUUCCCCAAGUUCCCAACGAGCUGAGUGAGAGGUUUUCAGUGCACGGGAGCUCCUGGUGCUCCGUGAAGCUUUCAUCCAUUCAUUAAUCCUCUCCCCUCCCACCCUCCUCUCCCUCUGUUCCCUGACUCCUCCCUGCAGGCCAGCCAGCUCGGUGUGUACAAAGCGUUUGUCGAUAACUAUAAAGUUGCUCUGGAGACAGCUGAGAAGUGCAGCCAGUCCAACAACCAGUUCCAGAAGAUCUCAGAGGAACUCAAAGUGAAAGGUCCCAAGGACUCCAAGGACAGCCACACGUCUGUCACCAUGGAAGCUCUGCUCUACAAGCCCAUUGACCGGGUCACUCGGAGCACCCUAGUCCUACACGACCUGCUGAAGCACACACCUGUGGACCACCCCGACUACCCGCUGCUGCAGGAUGCCCUCCGCAUCUCCCAGAACUUCCUGUCCAGCAUCAACGAGGACAUCGACCCCCGCCGGACUGCAGUGACAACGCCCAAGGGGGAGACGCGACAGCUGGUGAAGGACGGCUUCCUGGUGGAAGUGUCAGAGAGCUCCCG